GACCAUCUCCUAAGGCUAAAUACUCUCUAGUGACCGAUAGUGAACCAGUACCGUGAGGGAAAGGUGAAAAGCACCCCGGAAGGGGAGUGAAAUAGAACCUGAAACCGUGUGCUUACAAGUAGUCAGAGCCCGUUAAUGGGUGAUGGCGUGCCUUUUGUAGAAUGAACCGGCGAGUUACGAUUUGAUGCAAGGUUAAGCAGUAAAUGUGGAGCCGUAGCGAAAGCGAGUCUGAAUAGGGCGUUUAGUAUUUGGUCGUAGACCCGAAACCAGGUGAUCUACCCUUGGUCAGGUUGAAGUUCAGGUAACACUGAAUGGAGGACCGAACCGACUUACGUUGAAAAGUGAGCGGAUGAACUGAGGGUAGCGGAGAAAUUCCAAUCGAACCUGGAGAUAGCUGGUUCUCUCCGAAAUAGCUUUAGGGCUAGCCUCAAGUGAUGAUUAUUGGAGGUAGAGCACUGUUUGGACGAGGGGCCCCUCUCGGGUUACCGAAUUCAGACAAACUCCGAAUGCCAAUUAAUUUAACUUGGGAGUCAGAACAUGGGUGAUAAGGUCCGUGUUCGAAAGGGAAACAGCCCAGACCACCAGCUAAGGUCCCAAAAUA
Molecule: ribosomal RNA, 601 nt
Filed under: Staphylococcus aureus
Lineage: Bacteria; Bacillati; Bacillota; Bacilli; Caryophanales; Staphylococcaceae
Description: partial 23S ribosomal RNA
Rfam family: Bacterial large subunit ribosomal RNA
Source: RNAcentral